RNAcentral lists this ribosomal RNA (468 nucleotides) under uncultured bacterium. RNAcentral's name for it is "partial 16S ribosomal RNA". It matches the Rfam family "Bacterial small subunit ribosomal RNA", at positions 28 to 507 of the family's 1533-position model. The record is from RNAcentral.
GACGAACGCUGGCGGCGUGCUUAACACAUGCAAGUCGAACGGAAAGGCCCUGCUUUUGUGGGGUGCUCGAGUGGCGAACGGGUGAGUAACACGUGAGUAACCUGCCCUUGACUUUGGGAUAACUUCAGGAAACUGGGGCUAAUACCGGAUAGGAGCUCCUGCUGCAUGGUGGGGGUUGGAAAGUUUCGGCGGUUGGGGAUGGACUCGCGGCUUAUCAGCUUGUUGGUGGGGUAGUGGCUUACCAAGGCUUUGACGGGUAGCCGGCCUGGGAGGGUGACCGGCGACAUUGGGACUGAGAUACGGACCAGAGUCCUACGGGAGGCAGCAGUGGGGAGUAUUGCACAAUGGGCGGAAGCCUGAUGCAGCAACGCCGCGUGCGGGAUGACGGCCUUCGGGUUGUAAACCGCUUUCGCCUGUGACGAAGCGUGAGUGACGGUAAUGGGUAAAGAAGCACCGGCUAACUACGUG